GGGGGAGUUGUUGAAAAGUUUGUAUGAAUGAGGAUGAAUAAAAUCAAAACACUGACGCAAACAGAUAAUUAAACACAGAUAUGCAAAACUAAAUCACAUACAGAAGAAAAACGGUUGGUCAUUAACUUAAUUACAAUGCUUCCAAUCACAGAUCAACAAAAUAAAGCGGCGACUCAAACCUUUAAUCCAACACAGUUAACCAACUAAGCGAAGGCUAAUCAUGUUUUCAUAAAAGCGAACUAAGCGAACGCAAUGUUAACAUCAAAUCCAAUUUACACCAUGUAGUUUCAUCAACUAAGCGAAGACUCAACACCAACUAGGAAACUAAGCGUAUACCCAAUUGCAAGUGCAAAU
This 354-nucleotide long non-coding RNA is filed under the name Vigna radiata. RNAcentral describes it as "long non-coding RNA (VRAD_LNC012581)". The record is from RNAcentral. Lineage: Eukaryota; Viridiplantae; Streptophyta; Magnoliopsida; Fabales; Fabaceae.